RNAcentral lists this ribosomal RNA (142 nucleotides) under uncultured eukaryote. RNAcentral's name for it is "partial 18S ribosomal RNA". It matches the Rfam family "Eukaryotic small subunit ribosomal RNA", at positions 1299 to 1458 of the family's 1831-position model. The record is from RNAcentral.
UGGUGGAGUGAUUUGUCUGGUUAAUUCCGUUAACGAACGAGACCUCGACCUGCUAAAUAGUUCGUCGAACUCUUCGGGGUUCGCAUGUGACUUCUUAGAGGGACUAUCGGUGUGUAGCCGAUGGAAGUUCGAGGCAAUAACA